RNAcentral lists this ribosomal RNA (468 nucleotides) under uncultured bacterium. RNAcentral describes it as "partial 16S ribosomal RNA". It matches the Rfam family "Bacterial small subunit ribosomal RNA", at positions 28 to 507 of the family's 1533-position model. The record is from RNAcentral.
GACGAACGCUGGCGGCGUGCUUAACACAUGCAAGUCGAACGGAAAGGCCCUGCUUUUGUGGGGUGCUCGAGUGGCGAACGGGUGAGUAACACGUGAGUAACCUGCCCUUGACUUUGGGAUAACUUCAGGAAACUGGGGCUAAUACCGGAUAGGAGCUCCUGCUGCAUGGUGGGGGUUGGAAAGUUUCGGCGGUUGGGGAUGGACUCGCGGCUUAUCAGCUUGUUGGUGGGGUAGUGGCUUACCAAGGCUUUGACGGGUAGCCGGCCUGAGAGGGUGACCGGCCACAAUGGGACUGAGAUACGGCCCAGAAUCCUACGGGGGGCAGCAGUGGGGAAUAUUGCACAAUGGGCGGAAGCCUGAUGCAGCAACGCCGCGUGCGGGAUGGCGGCCUUCGGGUUGUAAACCGCUUUCGCCUGGGACGGAGCGGGAGUGACGGUAAUGGGUAAAGAAGGACCGGCUAACUACGUG